GAUGAAGAACGUAGCGAAAUGCGAUAAGUAGUGUGAAUUGCAGACUUUAGUGAAUCAUCGAAUCUUUGAACGCACAUUGCGCCCGCCAGUAUUCUGGCGGGCAUGCCUGUUCGAGCGUCAUUACAACCCUCAGGCCCCCGGGCCUGGCGUUGGGGAUCGGCGGAGCCCCCCGUGGGCACACGCCGUCCCCCAAAUGCAGUGGCGGUCCCGCCGCAGCUUCCAUCGCGUAGUAGCUAACACCUCGCGACUGGAGAGCGGCGCGGCCACGCCGUAAAACACCCAACUCUUCUGAAGUUGACCUCGAAUCAGGUAGGAAUACCCGCUGAACUUAAGCAUAUCAAUAAGCGGAGGA
Molecule: unclassified non-coding RNA, 352 nt
Filed under: soil metagenome
Description: partial contains 5.8S ribosomal RNA, internal transcribed spacer 2, and large subunit ribosomal RNA
Rfam family: 5.8S ribosomal RNA (bases 1-120)
Source: RNAcentral